Bacillus sp. FJAT-27231 is the source of this 201-nucleotide non-coding RNA. Lineage: Bacteria; Bacillati; Bacillota; Bacilli; Caryophanales; Bacillaceae. The record is from Rfam.
UACUAAACAAUAGAAGGGAUGAUGGGUGGACGAUGGACAAAUAAUCUUAUUUUCUACAUUUGAAAUCGCAUAUUUCAAAUCACACAAAAUAGGAUUAGUCUGCCCAUUUUCUAUAUACUGUACAGCUAUUGAAUCAAAUAGCUUAUUUGAACAACGCAAAAAUGCGGCUAAUCCUUCCAAAUCAAUUGGGAGGAUUUUUUU